Molecule: transfer RNA, 89 nt
Filed under: Arsenophonus sp.
Lineage: Bacteria; Pseudomonadati; Pseudomonadota; Gammaproteobacteria; Enterobacterales; Morganellaceae
Description: tRNA-Leu
Rfam family: tRNA
About the family: Transfer RNA (tRNA) molecules are approximately 80 nucleotides in length. Their secondary structure includes four short double-helical elements and three loops (D, anti-codon, and T loops).
Source: RNAcentral
GCCCAGGUGGUGAAAUUGGUAGACACAAGGGACUUAAAAUCCCUCAGUUUUUAAAGACUAUGCGGGUUCAAGUCCCGCUCUGGGCACCA